Molecule: non-coding RNA, 75 nt
Organism: Myotis davidii
Lineage: Eukaryota; Metazoa; Chordata; Mammalia; Chiroptera; Vespertilionidae
Source: Rfam
GGCAGUUCUCGGGUGACACACCCCAGAAUCAGGCUCCCUCCUCUCUGGUUCCGGGUGCGUCACCCGUGAACCACA